GGGGUCGUCGUCUAGCUUGGUCUAGGAUCCCAGUGUUUCAGUCGGGCCAAAAGUCUCGGGUUCAAAUCCCGACGACCCCACCA
RNAcentral lists this transfer RNA (83 nucleotides) under Candidatus Bathyarchaeota archaeon. RNAcentral's name for it is "tRNA-Glu". It matches the Rfam family "tRNA". Rfam says of the family: Transfer RNA (tRNA) molecules are approximately 80 nucleotides in length. The record is from RNAcentral. Lineage: Archaea; Thermoproteati; Candidatus Bathyarchaeota.